RNAcentral lists this ribosomal RNA (497 nucleotides) under uncultured Glomus. RNAcentral describes it as "SSU rRNA". It matches the Rfam family "Eukaryotic small subunit ribosomal RNA", at positions 569 to 1070 of the family's 1831-position model. The record is from RNAcentral. Lineage: Eukaryota; Fungi; Glomeromycota; Glomeromycetes; Glomerales; Glomeraceae.
AGCAGCCGCGGUAAUUCCAGCUCCAAUAGCGUAUAUUAAAGUUGUUGCAGUUAAAAAGCUCGUAGUUGAAUUUCGGGAUCAGUACGCUGGUCAUGCCUUUGGUAUGCACUGGUGUCACUGGUUUCUCCCUUCUGAAGAUCCGUGAUGUCAUUAAUUUGGUGUCGCGGGGAAUCAGGACUGUUACUUUGAAAAAAUUAGAGUGUUUAAAGCAAUCUCACGCUUGAAUACAUUAGCAUGGAAUAAUGAAAUAGGACGUUUGACCCUAUUUUGUUGGUUUCUAGGAUCGACGUAAUAAUUAAUAGGGAUAGUUGGGGGCAUUAGUAUUCAAUUGUCAGAGGUGAAAUUCUUGGAUUUAUUGAAGACUAACUACUGCGAAAGCAUUUGCCAAGGAUGUUUUCAUUAAUCAAGAACGAAAGUUAGGGGAUCGAAGACGAUCAGAUACCGUCGUAGUCUUAACCAUAAACUAUGCCGACUAGGGAUCGGAUGAUGUUAAUUUU